RNAcentral lists this ribosomal RNA (626 nucleotides) under uncultured bacterium. RNAcentral describes it as "bacterial SSU rRNA". It matches the Rfam family "Bacterial small subunit ribosomal RNA", at positions 201 to 847 of the family's 1533-position model. The record is from RNAcentral.
GAAAAACUCCGGUGGUACAAGAUGGACCCGCGUCUGAUUAGCUGGUUGGUGAGGUAACGGCCCACCAAGGCAACGAUCAGUAGCCGGCCUGAGAGGGUGAACGGCCACAUUGGGACUGAGACACGGCCCAAACUCCUACGGGAGGCAGCAGUGGGGAAUAUUGCACAAUGGGGGAAACCCUGAUGCAGCAACGCCGCGUGAGUGAAGAAGUAUUUCGGUAUGUAAAGCUCUAUCAGCAGGAAAGAAAAUGACGGUACCUGACUAAGAAGCCCCGGCUAACUACGUGCCAGCAGCCGCGGUAAUACGUAGGGGGCAAGCGUUAUCCGGAUUUACUGGGUGUAAAGGGAGCGUAGACGGUUUUGCAAGCCUGAAGUGAAAGCCCGGGGCUUAACCCCGGGACUGCUUUGGAAACUGUAGAACUAGAGUGCAGGAGAGGUAAGUGGAAUUCCUAGUGUAGCGGUGAAAUGCGUAGAUAUUAGGAGGAACACCAGUGGCGAAGGCGGCUUACUGGACUGUAACUGACGUUGAGGCUCGAAAGCGUGGGGAGCAAACAGGAUUAGAUACCCUGGUAGUCCACGCCGUAAACGAUGAUUACUAGGUGUUGGUGGGUACGACCCAUCGGUGCC